RNAcentral lists this ribosomal RNA (509 nucleotides) under uncultured Thermodesulfovibrio sp. Its description in RNAcentral is "bacterial SSU rRNA". It matches the Rfam family "Bacterial small subunit ribosomal RNA", at positions 8 to 524 of the family's 1533-position model. The record is from RNAcentral. Lineage: Bacteria; Pseudomonadati; Nitrospirota; Thermodesulfovibrionia; Thermodesulfovibrionales; Thermodesulfovibrionaceae.
AGAGUUUGAUCCUGGCUCAGAACGAACGCUGGCGGCGUGCCUAACACAUGCAAGUCGGACGGAGUCAUUUUGAAGUAGCAAUACGGAUAGAUGACUUAGUGGCGGACGGGUGAGUAACACGUAGGUAACCUACCCUUAAGCUGGGGACAACUCAGGGAAACUUGAGCUAAUACCCGAUAAGACCACGAACUGAGAUGUUAGUGGUAAAAGGAGCGAUUCACUUAGGGAUGGGCCUGCGGCCUAUCAGGUAGUUGGUGAGGUAAUGGCUCACCAAGCCUAAGACGGGUAGCCGGGCUGAGAGGUCGGACGGCCACACUGGAACUGAGAUACGGUCCAGACUCCUACGGGAGGCAGCAGUGGGGAAUAUUGCGCAAUAGGGGAAACCCUGACGCAGCGACGCCGCGUGGAGGAUGAAGGUCUUCGGGUUGUAAACUCCUUUUCUCAGGGAAAAUGAUGAUGGUACCUGAGGAAUAAGCCACGGCUAACUCUGUGCCAGCAGCCGCGGUAAA